UUCGAUCCGGCUCAGAUUGAACGCUGGCGGGAUGCUUUACACAUGCAAGUCGAACGGCAGCACGGACUUCGGUCUGGUGGCGAGUGGCGAACGGGUGAGUAAUGUAUCGGAACGUGCCUAGUAGCGGGGGAUAACUACGCGAAAGCGUAUCUACGCCUGCCCUUCGAAGCGGGGGACCUUCGGGCCUCGCACUAUUAAACCGGCCGAUAUCGGAUUAGCUAGUUAAUUGGGGUAACGGCUCACCAAGGCGACGAUCCGUAGCUGGUUUGAGAGGACGACCAGCUACACUGGGACUGAGACACGGCCCAGACUCCACCACGGGAGGCAGCAGUGGGGAAUUUUGGACAAUGGGGAAACCCUGAUCCAGCCAUCCCGCGUGUGCGAUGAAGGCCUUCGGGUUGUAAAGCACUUUUGGCAGGAAAGAAACGGCACGGGAUAAUACCCCGUGCAACUGACGGUACCUGCAGAAUAAGCACCGGCUAACUACGUGCCAGCAGCCGGUAAUACGUAGGGUGCAGCGUUAAUCGGAAUUACUGGGCGUAAAGCGUGCGCAGGCGGUUCGGAAAGAAGAUGUGGAAAUCCCAGAGCUUAACUUUGGAACUGCAUUUUUAACUACCGAGCUAGAGUGUGUCAGAGGGAGGUGGAAUUCCGCGUGUAGCGGUGAAAUGCGUAGAUAUGCGGAGGGACACCGAUGAAGGCAGCCUCCUGGGAUAACACUGACGCUCAUGCACGAAAGCGUGGGAGCAAACGGGAUUAGAUACCCUGGUAGUCCACGCCUAAACGAUGUCAACUAGCUGUUGGGGCCUUCGGGCCUUGGUAGCCACAGCUAACGCGUGAAGUUGACCGCCUGGGAAGUACGGUCGCAAGAUUAAAACUCAAAGGAAUUGACGGGACCGCACAAGCGGUGGAUGAUGUGGAUUAUUCGAUGCAACGCGAAAAAACCUUACCUACCCUUAACUUGUCUGGAAUCCCGAAGAGAUUUGGGAGUGCUCGCAAGAGAACCGGAACACAGGUGCUGCAUGGCUGUCGUCAGCUCGUGUCGUGAGAUGUUGGAUUCGUCCCACAACGAGCGCAAACCCUUGUCAUUAGUUGCUACGAAAGGGCACUCUAAUGAGACUGCCGGUGACAAACCGGAGGAAGGUGGGGAUGACGUCAAGUCCUCAUGGCCCUUAUGGGUAGGGCUUCACGUCAUACAAUGGUGGGGACAGAGGGUCGCCAACCCGCGAGGGGAGGGCCAAUCCCCGAAACCCGAUCGUAGUCCGGAUCGCAGUCUGCAACUCGACUGCGUGAAGUCCGGAAUCGCUAGUAAUCGCGGAUCAGCAUGUCGCGGUGAAUACGUUCCCGGGUCUUGUACACACCGCCCCGUCACCAUGGGAGUGGGUUUACCGAAGUAGUUAGCCUAUUAACCGUAAGGAGGGCGAUUACCACGGUGAUGAAGAUUCAUGACUGGGGUGAAGUCGUAACAAGGUAA
RNAcentral lists this ribosomal RNA (1471 nucleotides) under uncultured Bordetella sp. Its description in RNAcentral is "partial 16S-23S ribosomal RNA intergenic spacer". It matches the Rfam family "Bacterial small subunit ribosomal RNA". Lineage: Bacteria; Pseudomonadati; Pseudomonadota; Betaproteobacteria; Burkholderiales; Alcaligenaceae. The record is from RNAcentral.